This 446-nucleotide ribosomal RNA is filed under the name uncultured bacterium. Its description in RNAcentral is "partial 16S ribosomal RNA". It matches the Rfam family "Bacterial small subunit ribosomal RNA", at positions 354 to 796 of the family's 1533-position model. The record is from RNAcentral.
GUGAGGAAUAUUGCGCAAUGGAGGCAACUCUGACGCAGCCAUGCCGCGUGCAGGAUGAAGGCGUUAUGCGUUGUAAACUUCUUUUGUAUGGGAAGAAUGACAGGGAUUUAUCCUUGGAGAGACGGUACCAUACGAAUAAGCACCGGCUAACUCCGUGCCAGCAGCCGCGGUAAUACGGAGGGUGCAAGCGUUAUCCGGAAUCACUGGGUUUAAAGGGUACGUAGGCGGUUAAUUAAGUCAGUAGUGAAAGACUGUCGCUCAACGACGGAUGUGCUAUUGAUACUGGCUAACUUGAAUCAGGUUAGAGUUGGCGGAAUGGGUCAUGUAGCGGUGAAAUGCUUAGAUAUGACUUGGAACACCGAUAGCGAAGGCAGCUGACUGAGCCUUGAUUGACGCUGAGGUACGAAAGUGUGGGUAGCGAACAGGAUUAGAUACCCUGGUAGUCC